CCCUGCUUUUGUGGGGUGCUCGAGUGGCGAACGGGUGAGUAACACGUGAGUAACCUGCCCUUGACUUUGGGAUAACUUCAGGAAACGGGGGCUAAUACCGGAUAGGAGCUCCUGCUGCAUGGUGGGGGUUGGAAAGUUUCGGCGGUUGGGGAUGGACUCGCGGCUUAUCAGCUUGUUGGUGGGGUAGUGGCUUACCAAGGCUUUGACGGGUAGCCGGCCUGAGAGGGUGACCGGCCACAUUGGGACUGAGAUACGGCCCAGACUCCUACGGGAGGCAGCAGUGGGGAAUAUUGCACAAUGGGCGGAAGCCUGAUGCAGCAACGCCGCGUGCGGGAUGACGGCCUUCGGGUUGUAAACCGCUUUCGCCUGUGACGAAGCGUGAGUGACGGUAAUGGGUAAAGAAGCACCGGCUAACUACGUGCCAGCAGCCGCGGUGAUACGUAGGGUGCGAGCGUUGUCCGGAUUUAUUGGGCGUAAAGGGCUCGUAGGUGGUUGAUCGCGUCGGAAGUGUAAUCUUGGGGCUUAACCCUGAGCGUGCUUUCGAUACGGGUUGACUUGAGGAAGGUAGGGGAGAAUGGAAUUCCUGGUGGAGCGGUGGAAUGCGCAGAUAUCAGGAGGAACACCAGUGGCGAAGGCGGUUCUCUGGGCCUUUCCUGACGCUGAGGAGCGAAAGCGUGGGGAGCGAACAGGCUUAGAUACCCUGGUAGUCCACGCUGUAAACGGUGGGUACUAGGUGUGGGGUCCAUUCCACGGGUUCCGUGCCGUAGCUAACGCUUUAAGUACCCCGCCUGGGGAGUACGGCCGCAAGGCUAAAACUCAAAGGAAUUGACGGGGCCCCGCACAAGCGGCGGAGCAUGCGGAUUAAUUCGAUGCAACGCGUAGAACCUUACCUGGGUUUGACAUGGAUCGGGAGUGCUCAGAGAUGGGUGUGCCUCUUUUGGGGUCGGUUCACAGGUGGUGCAUGGCUGUCGUCAGCUCGUGUCGUGAGAUGUUGGGUUAAGUCCCGCAACGAGCGCAACCCUUGUUCACUGUUGCCAGCACGUUAUGGUGGGGACUCAGUGGAGACCGCCGGGGUCAAC
Molecule: ribosomal RNA, 1079 nt
Filed under: uncultured bacterium
Lineage: Bacteria
Description: bacterial SSU rRNA
Rfam family: Bacterial small subunit ribosomal RNA
Source: RNAcentral